GCCCGAUUAGCGUAGCCUGGUUAGCGCGCAGGCCUGUGGAGCCUGAGGGCCGGGUUCAAAUCCCGGGUCGGGCC
This is a transfer RNA of 74 nucleotides. It matches the Rfam family "tRNA". Rfam says of the family: Transfer RNA (tRNA) molecules are approximately 80 nucleotides in length. Their secondary structure includes four short double-helical elements and three loops (D, anti-codon, and T loops).